Molecule: transfer RNA, 64 nt
Filed under: Trixa longipennis
Lineage: Eukaryota; Metazoa; Arthropoda; Insecta; Diptera; Tachinidae
Description: tRNA-Gly
Source: RNAcentral
AUCUAUAUAAUAUAAAAAGUAUUUUUGACUUCCAAUCAUUAAGUUUACACCUGUAAUAUAGAUA